AAAUUGAAGAGUUUGAUCAUGGCUCAGAUUGAACGCUGGCGGCAGGCCUAACACAUGCAAGUCGAACGGUAACAGGAAGCAGCUUGCUGCUUCCCUGACGAGUGGCGGACGGGUGAGUAAUGUCUGGGAAACUGCCUGAUGGAGGGGGAUAACUACUGGAAACGGUAGCUAAUACCGCAUAA
RNAcentral lists this ribosomal RNA (182 nucleotides) under Shigella sonnei. RNAcentral's name for it is "partial 16S ribosomal RNA". It matches the Rfam family "Bacterial small subunit ribosomal RNA", at positions 1 to 176 of the family's 1533-position model. The record is from RNAcentral. Lineage: Bacteria; Pseudomonadati; Pseudomonadota; Gammaproteobacteria; Enterobacterales; Enterobacteriaceae.